UUUAUAACUUUUCCCGAAACCCAGGCGGAACGACUAAGGGUGCAGCAAGGAUUCCGCGAUAUUGCGCAAUUCCCAGGUGUAAUUGGUGCUCUCGAUGGUUCGCACGUUCCCAUCGCAAACCCAGGAGGAAUUAAUGCCCAGCGUUUCAUGAAUCGAAAGGGUUACUAUAGCCUGAACUGCCAACUUGUUUGUGACCAUGAGUUAUGCUUCACCAAUGUCGUCUCCAGAUGGUACGGCUCUGCGCACAAUUCAAGAAUCUUUGAGGAAUCACGACUUUGCCAAAGAUUCAGAGCAGGAGAGCUCCAGGGUAUUUUGCUGGGUGACCCAGCAUACACGUGCACCAGAUAUAUGUUGACUCCGGUUCGUGAACCAAGAAACGUUGCAGAGCGGAAUUACAAUCAAGCCCAAAGGAGGACAAGAGGGGUCAUCGAGAGAGCGUUUGGGGUUUGGAAAAGACGAUUCCACGCUGUUGGUAGGGGAAAUACCCUUCGAUGUUCAUUGCAGCACAAUAUGGCCAUAAUCAUCGCUACAGCAUGUCUCCACAACUUGGCCAUUCGCAGAAACGAUCCACUUCCAGAUGAUUAUCAUGGUGAUGCCAAUAUGCGCCGAGAGCCAGCAGAGGAAGCGCAUCAUCAUGAAGCUAACCUACGAGGCAACUUAUUUCGCCAAAGAUUCAUAAGACAACACUUCCAGUAGGCAAGUGCUUGGUCGGUCUUCUUUAAGACAGGAGAUUCAUCGGACAUGGUAGCCCUCUUCUCAAAGCUGGAAAGAAGAAUGC
This is a long non-coding RNA of Lineus longissimus, 778 nucleotides long. RefSeq lists it as uncharacterized. The record is from RefSeq and is a predicted model, not a curated record. The transcript has 3 exons. Lineage: Eukaryota; Metazoa; Nemertea; Pilidiophora; Heteronemertea; Lineidae.